Molecule: ribosomal RNA, 406 nt
Filed under: uncultured bacterium
Lineage: Bacteria
Description: partial 16S ribosomal RNA
Rfam family: Bacterial small subunit ribosomal RNA
Source: RNAcentral
AUUGCACGCUGGCGGAAGGCCUAACACAUGCAAGUCGAGCGAGCGGCGGGCGGGUGCGUAAUGUCUGGGAACCUGCCGGAUGGAGGGGGAGAACUACUGGAAACGGUAGCUAAUAACGCAUACCAUCAGAUGUGCAAAGAUGGGAUUAGAUAGUAGGUGGGGGAACGGCUCACCUCGGCGACGAUCCAUAGCUGGUCUGAGAGGAUGACCAGCCACACUGGAACGGCGACACGGUCCAGACGCCUACGGGAGGCAGCAGUGGGGAAUAUGGAACAAGGGGCGCAAGCAUGAUGCAGCCAUGCCGAGUGUGUGAAGAAGGCCUUCGUGUUGUAAAGCACUUUCAGCGGGGAGGCGUUACCCGCAGAAGAAGCACCGGCUAACUCCGUGCCAGCCGCCGCGGUAAUUC